RNAcentral lists this ribosomal RNA (434 nucleotides) under uncultured Clostridium sp. RNAcentral's name for it is "partial 16S ribosomal RNA". It matches the Rfam family "Bacterial small subunit ribosomal RNA", at positions 341 to 792 of the family's 1533-position model. The record is from RNAcentral. Lineage: Bacteria; Bacillati; Bacillota; Clostridia; Eubacteriales; Clostridiaceae.
ACGGAAGGCAGCAGUGGGGAAUAUUGGACAAUGGGGGAAACCCUGAUCCAGCGACGCCGCGUGAGUGAAGAAGUAUUUCGGUAUGUAAAGCUCUAUCAGCAAGGAAGAAAAUGACGGUACUUGACUAAGAAGCUCCGGCUAAAUACGUGCCAGCAGCCGCGGUAAUGCGUAUGGAGCAAGCGUUAUCCGGAUUUACUGGGUGUAAAGGGAGCGUAGACGGCAAAGCAAGUCCGAAGUGAAAUCCCGGGGCUCAACCCCGGAACUGCUUUGGAAACUGUUUAGCUAGAGUGCAGGAGAGGUAAGCGGAAUUCCUAGUGUAGCGGUGAAAUGCGUAGAUAUUAGGAGGAACACCAGUGGCGAAGGCGGCUUACUGGACUGUAACUGACGUUGAGGCUCGAAAGCGUGGGGAGCAAACAGGAUUAGAUACCCUGGUA